RNAcentral lists this ribosomal RNA (460 nucleotides) under uncultured bacterium. RNAcentral describes it as "partial 16S ribosomal RNA". It matches the Rfam family "Bacterial small subunit ribosomal RNA", at positions 338 to 795 of the family's 1533-position model. The record is from RNAcentral.
CCUACGGGUGGCUGCAGUGAGGAAUAUUGGUCAAUGGACGACAGUCUGAACCAGCCAAGUAGCGUGAAGGAUGACUGCCCUAUGGGUUGUAAACUUCUUUUAUAUGGGACUAAAAUGUUCCACGUGUGGGAUUUUGUAUGUACCAUAUGAAUAAGGAUCGGCUAACUCCGUGCCAGCAGCCGCGGUAAUACGGAGGAUCCGAGCGUUCUCCGGAUUUAUUGGGUUUAAAGGGAGCGUAGGUGGAUUGUUAAGUCAGUUGUGAAAGUUUGCGGCUCAACCGUAAAAUUGCAGUUGAAACUGGCAGUCUUGAGUACAGUAGAGGUGGGCGGAAUUCGUGGUGUAGCGGUGAAAUGCUUAGAUAUCACGAAGAACUCCGAUUGCGAAGGCAGUUCACUGGACUGCAACUGACACUGAGGCUCGAAAGUGUGGGUAUCAAACAGGAUUAGAUACCCUUGUAGUC